GUUACAGCCGCCGCGGUAAUACGUAGGCAGCGAGCGUUGUUCGGAGUUACUGGGCGUAAAGCGUGCGUAGGCGGUGGUCCAAGUCUGGUGUGAAAUCUCCCGGCUCAACUGGGAGGGUGCGCCGGAAACUGGGCCGCUGGAGUACGGGAGAGGCAAGCGGAAUUCCUGGUGUAGCGGUGAAAUGCGUAGAUAUCAGGAGGAACACCCGUGGUGCAGACGGCUUGCUGGACCGUGACUGACGCUGAGGCACGAAAGCGUGGGUAGCAAACAGGAUUAGAUACCCUCGUAGUCC
RNAcentral lists this ribosomal RNA (292 nucleotides) under uncultured bacterium. RNAcentral describes it as "partial 16S ribosomal RNA". It matches the Rfam family "Bacterial small subunit ribosomal RNA", at positions 505 to 796 of the family's 1533-position model. The record is from RNAcentral.